RNAcentral lists this transfer RNA (86 nucleotides) under Paenibacillaceae bacterium ZCTH02-B3. RNAcentral describes it as "tRNA-Tyr". It matches the Rfam family "tRNA". Rfam says of the family: Transfer RNA (tRNA) molecules are approximately 80 nucleotides in length. Their secondary structure includes four short double-helical elements and three loops (D, anti-codon, and T loops). The record is from RNAcentral. Lineage: Bacteria; Bacillati; Bacillota; Bacilli; Caryophanales; Paenibacillaceae.
GGAGGGUUAGCGAAGUGGUCAAACGCGGCUGACUGUAAAUCAGCUCCCAUUCGGGUUCGGUGGUUCGAAUCCAUCACCCUCCACCA